This 501-nucleotide ribosomal RNA is filed under the name Bacillus thuringiensis. Its description in RNAcentral is "bacterial SSU rRNA". It matches the Rfam family "Bacterial small subunit ribosomal RNA", at positions 49 to 528 of the family's 1533-position model. The record is from RNAcentral. Lineage: Bacteria; Bacillati; Bacillota; Bacilli; Caryophanales; Bacillaceae.
CUAUACAUGCAGUCGAGCGAAUGGAUUAGAGAGCUUGCUCUCAUGAAGUUAGCGGCGGACGGGUGAGUAACACGUGGGUAACCUGCCCAUAAGACUGGGAUAACUCCGGGAAACCGGGGCUAAUACCGGAUAAUAUUUUGAACUGCAUGGUUCGAAAUUGAAAGGCGGCUUCGGCUGUCACUUAUGGAUGGACCCGCGUCGCAUUAGCUAGUUGGUGAGGUAACGGCUCACCAAGGCAACGAUGCGUAGCCGACCUGAGAGGGUGAUCGGCCACACUGGGACUGAGACACGGCCCAGACUCCUACGGGAGGCAGCAGUAGGGAAUCUUCCGCAAUGGACGAAAGUCUGACGGAGCAACGCCGCGUGAGUGAUGAAGGCUUUCGGGUCGUAAAACUCUGUUGUUAGGGAAGAACAAGUGCUAGUUGAAUAAGCUGGCACCUUGACGGUACCUAACCAGAAAGCCACGGCUAACUACGUGCCAGCAGCCGGCCGGUAAUAAAA